UGGGUGUGGCGAGCUGCACAUAAGUGGCUGGAGAAGAAGGGCCAGCCCAGAGGUCAGUCAAAGUGGCACACCAAGGAGCGAAAUGUUGCAGUAGGAGAUUUGGUAUGGCUGGCUGACCAAAAUGCCCUGAGAGGUCAAUACAAGUUGGCUAGAGUGGUCAGUGUCAACGCUGAUAGGAAAGGCAUCGUAAGGGAUGUACAUGUGAGAACCUUUCCCAGCUACCCCGUCCCAGUCACGAAGCCAACCAGAGGAGAGAUCACAAAAACAAACAAGGAAGCAACGAAGAGGCUCUUAACAAAAAUCCCUGCAACAAUUCUGCAUAGGGAUGUCAGACGCCUAGUCAUCCUACUACCAAUAGAAGAACAACCAGAGGCUUGAAGGACUGGUGUGACCUCCCUGGGUUUAAAAAACCAGGAGCUCAAGUGUCGAGGCAAAAUGAUGAACUUUGCCUAAGAAAAACUUCAAGUCCCAUAAUGCACCACCAGCAGGCCAGUGCAGGCUGCUCAUUAUGACUUGAGUUGGGACACCUGCGGAUGAGGACUCUCAGCAAACGUCUCAGCAGAGAGAGAGAGGCAGGAGAGAGGAUUCAGCUCAUGGUACACCAAAGAAGCCACUGGUUUUCAACCUGAUGAACCAACCAGCAAACAAUGAACAAAUAAGGCAAAAUAAACAUUGAGCUGUGUUGAAAA
Long non-coding RNA from Hippoglossus stenolepis (Pacific halibut), 689 nucleotides. RefSeq lists it as uncharacterized. The transcript has 2 exons. Lineage: Eukaryota; Metazoa; Chordata; Actinopteri; Pleuronectiformes; Pleuronectidae. The record is from RefSeq and is a predicted model, not a curated record.